UGGGGGAUAUUGCACAAUGGGCGCAAGCCUGAUGCAGCGACGCCGCGUGGGGGAUGAAGGCCUUCGGGUUGUAAACUUCUUUUGCCCUGAACAAGGCGCACUUUGGGGUGUGUUGAGUGUAGGGGUUGAUUAGCGCCGGCUAACUACGUGCCAGCAGCCGCGGUAAUACGUAGGGCGCGAGCGUUGUCCGGAAUUAUUGGGCGUAAAGGGCUUGUAGGUGGCUGGUUGCGUCUGUCGUGAAAGCUCAUGGCUUAACUGUGGGUUUGCGGUGGGUACGGGCUGGCUUGAGUGCAGUAGGGGAGGCUGGAAUUCCUGGUGUAGCGGUGGAAUGCGCAGAUAUCAGGAGGAAUACCGGUGGCGAAGGCGGGUCUCUGGGCUGUUACUGACACUGAGGAGCGAAAGCAUGGGGAGCGAACAGG
RNAcentral lists this ribosomal RNA (419 nucleotides) under bacterium. RNAcentral's name for it is "partial 16S ribosomal RNA". It matches the Rfam family "Bacterial small subunit ribosomal RNA", at positions 355 to 776 of the family's 1533-position model. The record is from RNAcentral.